GACGAACGCUGGCGGCGUGCCUAAUACAUGCAAGUUGAGCGCUGAAGGUUGGUACUUGUACCGUCUGGAUGAGCAGCGCACGGGUGAGUAACGCGUGGGGAAUCUGCCUUUGAUCGGGGGACAACAUUUGGAAACGAAUGCUAAUACCGCAUAAAAACUUUAAACACAAGUUUUAAGGUUGAAAGAUGCAAUUGCAUCACUCAAAGAUGAUUCCGCGUUGUAUUAGCUAGUUGGUGAGGUAAAGGCUCACCAAGGCGAUGAUACAUAGCCGACCUGAGAGGGUGGUCGGCCACAUUGGGACUGAGACACGGCCCAAACUCCUACGGGAGGCAGCAGUAGGGAAACUUCGGGAAUGGGCGAAAGUCUGACCGAACAACGCCGCGGGGGUGAAGAAGGUUGUCGGGUCGUAAAACUCUGUUGGUAGGGAAGAACGUUGGUGAGAGUGGAAGGCUCAUCAAGUGACGGUAACUACCCAGAAAGGGACGGCUAACUACGUG
RNAcentral lists this ribosomal RNA (497 nucleotides) under uncultured bacterium. RNAcentral describes it as "partial 16S ribosomal RNA". It matches the Rfam family "Bacterial small subunit ribosomal RNA", at positions 28 to 507 of the family's 1533-position model. The record is from RNAcentral.